UAAAACAUUCAUUUACUUGACGGUUCCAGUACCCCGAGGCGACUACUCGAUGCUUCCAAAGACAAAAUCCCAAUUCGCAGCAUCCUCUCCAUCGGUUUUGCUCCUCCCCAUCCCUCAGUCAGGCUCCCUCUCUCUUUGUCUGCUAGGGCAUAGAGAAUCCACUGCAUAAAGAGGUAUCAGUCUUUCCAAGUACAUUUCUUCUCCGCGCUUUAAGCACUCUGUUGCGAUGAAAUGUGUCAUCUGAUUCGAUGAUCUCUGAGUAUACUUGAACCGAAUGGUUUGAAAAUUUGUUGCUAAUUGCUUGAUAUCUCUGAUGUAAGCCCCGAUUUCUGAUUUAUCCUCAUUGUUAGACUGACAUUUCUUGAUAAUUACUAACGCAUCUCCUUCUAUUUCAACCUUCCUCGCUCCCAUUUGGAUCCUCAAUCUCACUGCCUGAGUGCAUGCACAAGCCUCAGCAGCAAAAUGGGAUGCAGUCGCCUCUUCUAAAGUUGCUUGCGAGGCCAGAACCUCGCCUCUGUCAUUACGAGCAACCAUUCUCGAUGUUGAUCGGAACAUUUCAUGAUUAUAGGCCGUGUCGAAGUUAAUGCGAAAAAAUCCAGACUCCGGAGGUCUCCAAGUCACACAUAGAAUCUAUUUUUCCAGAUAAUCCAUGUCGCACAACAAAAUAGGUGGCACUGGUAGCUCGAGGCUUUACGAAACACCCAAGUAACCAAUCCCAAAUUUCCAGAUUUACUUCCGAGGUAACCUACUCAAGAUUUAAGUGUUACCAUGCUUCAAUUGAAACAGGGCACUCUCUAAACACGUGGCCUGUAGUCUCCACCCCUCUUUCGCACCGUCGAUAGAUUGUAUUGACCCGAAGCCUUCUGUGUUGUAGGUUAGAUAGGGUUGGUAGAAAAUUCCAGGAAAUUUUCCAUAAUGUAAUUUUUGUUUGGCAGUCUCCACCCCUUUUACCGUGACUUUUUUGCCACCAAAAUUUAGCAAUAAUGUUUUCCAAAUCUCUACAAAGCAAUUUCGACAACAAAAAACACAUCAUAGAAUAAGUCGGAAUGGCUUGUAAAAUAGCUUUGAUAAACACCUCCUUCCCUCUUGAGACACAAAGUGAGUGCUCUAAUUAUCAAUCUUCUACUUGACCCUAUCUUUUAAAAUCUGAAAAGCUAGUCACUUUUAUC
Gossypium raimondii (Peruvian cotton) is the source of this 1169-nucleotide long non-coding RNA. RefSeq lists it as uncharacterized. The record is from RefSeq and is a predicted model, not a curated record. Lineage: Eukaryota; Viridiplantae; Streptophyta; Magnoliopsida; Malvales; Malvaceae. The transcript is spliced from 2 exons.